This 855-nucleotide long non-coding RNA is filed under the name Olea europaea subsp. europaea. Lineage: Eukaryota; Viridiplantae; Streptophyta; Magnoliopsida; Lamiales; Oleaceae. The record is from RNAcentral.
AGGAGAGAAAAUAUAUUAUUUUCUUGUAGUUCAAAAAUUCAAGAAUUACUUUCUGGAUUAAUUGAAAGAAGGUGCCAACACAUCGAUAUAGUCUUUGGGUUGGAGAAUACCAUAGAAGGCUUGAAAAUUUGAAGCACCAAGAUUCUUGCAAUUAAAGGAGACGGAAGUUCGCGGAUCAGAGUUAUUUCAUGGUUGAUCAUUGAACUUAGGUAAAAAAAUUCAAAUCCUUUAAUUUUGUUAUAACAUACACGUGAACAUUUAGAUGAUCUUAUUUAUUGAAUUAAAGAAAAUUUUAAUUUUUGAUUAAUUCUACUUCCACAUUCCAACAGAAACUUGUUUUCUUAAUUUUGAAAUAUGUCAUACUUAAUCUUUCGCUUGUGAAAUUUCCCCCCCUUUUUUAGACCCUUUCAAGUUGGAGUCCUUAGGCAAUUGCCUUGGUCACCUUGUGCUAGGCCAGCCCUGAUACAUCUAUUUGUUCAUGGUUGAGUAGUACCAGAUUUGAAGGUUGGGGCAAAAAGAAAAUGGAGUGGGAUUUGAUCUCGAAUUGGAUGACUGGUAGAUCACUUUUGAGAAUUGUCGUAAGGGGAGAAUUUAAUCCAAUAUUCGAGCGGCGAUGCGAGAUUCCGGUGGCAUAAAGUGUCAAUGGGCACUUUGAAAGGCUGCUUACUGGAACUUUAUUUUGAUUUUUAUUUUAAAUUUUGCCUGUCUCAAUGGAAUUUGAGGGCCUUUUUUAUUUUUAUUGUCAUAUAUGAUCGAGAAUUCAUUAUUGGUUAUGGGAUUUGUCAAAUAUCAAAUUGACACCACACCAUAUAUGUUUUUGAGUUACUGUAAAGUUAUUUUUGUUUUGAAUUUGAA